This 63-nucleotide transfer RNA is filed under the name Aleyrodidae sp. JXCHN01. RNAcentral describes it as "tRNA-Asp". Lineage: Eukaryota; Metazoa; Arthropoda; Insecta; Hemiptera; Aleyrodidae. The record is from RNAcentral.
AAAAAUUUAGUUAAUGAUAUAAUAUUAGUUUGUCAAACUAGAGUUACACCUUUGUAUUUUUUA